UUAAGUUAUUAAGGGCGCACGGUGGAUGCCUUGGCACUAGAAGCCGAUGAAGGACGUUACUAACGACGAUAUGCUUUGGGGAGCUGUAAGUAAGCUUUGAUCCAGAGAUUUCCGAAUGGGGAAACCCAGCAUGAGUUAUGUCAUGUUAUCGAUAUGUGAAUACAUAGCAUAUCAGAAGGCACACCCGGAGAACUGAAACAUCUUAGUACCCGGAGGAAGAGAAAGAAAAUUCGAUUCCCUUAGUAGCGGCGAGCGAAACGGGAAGAGCCCAAACCAACAAGCUUGCUUGUUGGGGUUGUAGGACACUCUAUACGGAGUUACAAAGGACGACAUUAGACGAAUCAUCUGGAAAGAUGAAUCAAAGAAGGUAAUAAUCCUGUAGUCGAAAAUGUUGUCUCUCUUGAGUGGAUCCUGAGUACGACGGAGCACGUGAAAUUCCGUCGGAAUCUGGGAGGACCAUCUCCUAAGGCUAAAUACUCUCUAGUGACCGAUAGUGAACCAGUACCGUGAGGGAAAGGUGAAAAGCACCCCGGAAGGGGAGUGAAACAGAACCUGAAACCGUGUGCUUACAAGUAGUCAGAGCCCGUUAAUGGGUGAUGGCGUGCCUUUUGUAGAAUGAACCGGCGAGUUACGAUUUGAUGCAAGGUUAAGCAGUAAAUGUGGAGCCGUAGCGAAAGCGAGUCUGAAUAGGGCGUUUAGUAUUUGGUCGUAGACCCGAAACCAGGUGAUCUACCCUUGGUCAGGUUGAAGUUCAGGUAACACUGAAUGGAGGACCGAACCGACUUACGUUGAAAAGUGAGCGGAUGAACUGAGGGUAGCGGAGAAAUUCCAAUCGAACCUGGAGAUAGCUGGUUCUCUCCGAAAUAGCUUUAGGGCUAGCCUCAAGUGAUGAUUAUUGGAGGUAGAGCACUGUUUGGACGAGGGGCCCCUCUCGGGUUACCGAAUUCAGACAAACUCCGAAUGCCAAUUAAUUUAACUUGGGAGUCAGAACAUGGGUGAUAAGGUCCGUGUUCGAAAGGGAAACAGCCCAGACCACCAGCUAAGGUCCCAAAAUAUAUGUUAAGUGGAAAAGGAUGUGGCGUUGCCCAGACAACUAGGAUGUUGGCUUAGAAGCAGCCAUCAUUUAAAGAGUGCGUAAUAGCUCACUAGUCGAGUGACACUGCGCCGAAAAUGUACCGGGGCUAAACAUAUUACCGAAGCUGUGGAUUGUCCUUUGGACAAUGGUAGGAGAGCGUUCUAAGGGCGUUGAAGCAUGAUCGUAAGGACAUGUGGAGCGCUUAGAAGUGAGAAUGCCGGUGUGAGUAGCGAAAGACGGGUGAGAAUCCCGUCCACCGAUUGACUAAGGUUUCCAGAGGAAGGCUCGUCCGCUCUGGGUUAGUCGGGUCCUAAGCUGAGGCCGACAGGCGUAGGCGAUGGAUAACAGGUUGAUAUUCCUGUACCACCUAUAAUCGUUUUAAUCGAUGGGGGGACGCAGUAGGAUAGGCGAAGCGUGCGAUUGGAUUGCACGUCUAAGCAGUAAGGCUGAGUAUUAGGCAAAUCCGGUACUCGUUAAGGCUGAGCUGUGAUGGGGAGAAGACAUUGUGUCUUCGAGUCGUUGAUUUCACACUGCCGAGAAAAGCCUCUAGAUAGAAAAUAGGUGCCCGUACCGCAAACCGACACAGGUAGUCAAGAUGAGAAUUCUAAGGUGAGCGAGCGAACUCUCGUUAAGGAACUCGGCAAAAUGACCCCGUAACUUCGGGAGAAGGGGUGCUCUUUAGGGUUAACGCCCAGAAGAGCCGCAGUGAAUAGGCCCAAGCGACUGUUUAUCAAAAACACAGGUCUCUGCUAAACCGUAAGGUGAUGUAUAGGGGCUGACGCCUGCCCGGUGCUGGAAGGUUAAGAGGAGUGGUUAGCUUCUGCGAAGCUACGAAUCGAAGCCCCAGUAAACGGCGGCCGUAACUAUAACGGUCCUAAGGUAGCGAAAUUCCUUGUCGGGUAAGUUCCGACCCGCACGAAAGGCGUAACGAUUUGGGCACUGUCUCAACGAGAGACUCGGUGAAAUCAUAGUACCUGUGAAGAUGCAGGUUACCCGCGACAGGACGGAAAGACCCCGUGGAGCUUUACUGUAGCCUGAUAUUGAAAUUCGGCACAGCUUGUACAGGAUAGGUAGGAGCCUUUGAAACGUGAGCGCUAGCUUACGUGGAGGCGCUGGUGGGAUACUACCCUAGCUGUGUUGGCUUUCUAACCCGCACCACUUAUCGUGGUGGGAGACAGUGUCAGGCGGGCAGUUUGACUGGGGCGGUCGCCUCCUAAAAGGUAACGGAGGCGCUCAAAGGUUCCCUCAGAAUGGUUGGAAAUCAUUCAUAGAGUGUAAAGGCAUAAGGGAGCUUGACUGCGAGACCUACAAGUCGAGCAGGGUCGAAAGACGGACUUAGUGAUCCGGUGGUUCCGCAUGGAAGGGCCAUCGCUCAACGGAUAAAAGCUACCCCGGGGAUAACAGGCUUAUCUCCCCCAAGAGUUCACAUCGACGGGGAGGUUUGGCACCUCGAUGUCGGCUCAUCGCAUCCUGGGGCUGUAGUCGGUCCCAAGGGUUGGGCUGUUCGCCCAUUAAAGCGGUACGCGAGCUGGGUUCAGAACGUCGUGAGACAGUUCGGUCCCUAUCCGUCGUGGGCGUAGGAAAUUUGAGAGGAGCUGUCCUUAGUACGAGAGGACCGGGAUGGACAUACCUCUGGUGUACCAGUUGUCGUGCCAACGGCAUAGCUGGGUAGCUAUGUGUGGACGGGAUAAGUGCUGAAAGCAUCUAAGCAUGAAGCCCCCCUCAAGAUGAGAUUUCCCAACUUCGGUUAUAAGAUCCCUCAAAGAUGAUGAGGUUAAUAGGUUCGAGGUGGAAGCAUGGUGACAUGUGGAGCUGACGAAUACUAAUCGAUCGAAGACUUAAUCAA
Molecule: ribosomal RNA, 2921 nt
Filed under: Staphylococcus aureus Rd.545
Lineage: Bacteria; Bacillati; Bacillota; Bacilli; Caryophanales; Staphylococcaceae
Also listed under: 4 other names
Description: bacterial LSU rRNA
Rfam family: Bacterial large subunit ribosomal RNA
Source: RNAcentral